GCUCCUUGUUCUCUCUCUCUGCUUUCUUCACGUGGAUGAAAAUGGGAUGAGUCAGCUUCCUGCUCCUGCCUCUGUGACAUAUUUUUCCUGCCAUGAAGAGUGGGCAUUCUCCUGUAGAACUAUAAGCCCAAAUCAACACUGUCUUCUAUACACUUCCUUUGGUCAGGGUAUUUUGUCACAGCAACAGGAAGGUGACUAAUGCUCUUUGUUUAAUUCAUCAUUGUUCCACUGCCUGUCAUCACUGCAUCUGCAGCCUUGGGCUGGCAUGGCUGCUGAACCUCUGGAAAAAACUGUCCACUCAGAAGAUAGAGUCCAUAUCCAAUGUUGCUUGAGUGACCAAGAACCUGAGAUCAGAAAGCACAGUGACCUAGGAACCCUCAUCCAGUGGCUGAUGGAAGCAGAGGCAGACACCCACAGAU
Molecule: non-coding RNA, 419 nt
Organism: Cricetulus griseus (Chinese hamster)
Lineage: Eukaryota; Metazoa; Chordata; Mammalia; Rodentia; Cricetidae
Source: RefSeq, a predicted model, not a curated record